RNAcentral lists this ribosomal RNA (474 nucleotides) under uncultured bacterium. RNAcentral's name for it is "bacterial SSU rRNA". It matches the Rfam family "Bacterial small subunit ribosomal RNA", at positions 28 to 496 of the family's 1533-position model. The record is from RNAcentral.
GAUGAACGCUAGCGGCAGGCUUAACACAUGCAAGUCGAGGGGCAGCACGGGUAGCAAUACCUGGUGGCGACCGGCGCAAGGGUGCGUAACGCGUGAGCAACAUGCCCUAUACAGGGGGAUAAUCCAGGGAAACUUGGUCUAAUAUCCCAUAGUAUUUAGAGGAGGCAUCUUCUAUAAAUUAAAGCUUCGGUGGUAUAGGAUUGGCUCGCGUGACAUUAGCUAGAUGGUGAGGUAACGGCUCACCAUGGCAAUGAUGUCUAGGGGUUCUGAGAGGAAGGCCCCCCACACUGGGACUGAGACACGGCCCAGACUCCUACGGGAGGCAGCAGUGAGGAAUAUUGGACAAUGGAUGGAAAUCUGAUCCAGCCAUGCCGCGUGCAGGAAGACAGCCCUAUGGGUUGUAAACUGCUUUUAUAUGGGGAGCAAUAAGGUUUACGCGUAGACCGAUGAGAGUACCAUAUGAAUAAGCAUCGG